Molecule: ribosomal RNA, 546 nt
Filed under: uncultured Bacillota bacterium
Lineage: Bacteria; Bacillati; Bacillota
Description: uncultured Firmicutes bacterium partial 16S ribosomal RNA
Rfam family: Bacterial small subunit ribosomal RNA
Source: RNAcentral
CGGGGGGGGGGGUUUAUCGGAAAUUAUGGGCGUAAGCGCAGCAGGCGGUUUGUUAAGUCAGAUGUGAAAUAAAAAGAACAACCUGGGAACUGCAUCUGAUACUGGCAACUUAGAAAAAAAAAAGAGGGGGGUAGAAUUCCAGGUGUACCGGUGAAAUGCGUAGAGAUCUGGAGGAAUACCGUUGGCAAAGGAGGCCCCCUGGAGAAACUGACGCUCAGGUGCGAAAGCGUGGGGAGCAAACAGGAUUAGAUACCCUGGUAGUCCACGCCGUAAACGAUGUCUACUUGGAGGUUGUGCCCUUGAGGCGUGGCUUCCGGAGCUAACGCGUUAAGUCGACCGCCAGGGAAGUGCGGCCGCAAGGUUAAGACUCAAAUGAAUUGACGGGGGCCCGCACAAGAGGUGGAGCAUGUGUUUUAAAUCGAUGCAACGCGAACAGCCUUACCUGGGCUUGACCUCCACGGAAGUUUUCAGAGUUGACAGGGUGCCUUCCGGAACCGUGAGACCAGUGCUGCAUGGCCGACGUCAGCUCAUGUUAGAUAAGAGUUG